UUUAGCACGGAAAAUGAAUACAGGAAUUAAUUCUCUGGCACACCCUGAAAGUGAGUUAAAACUCAUUAGAUGUGGACUUUGGAUAGCCAGAACUGGCAGAAUAAUGAAAGCUAUCGAUUGAGACUGAGGCGACUAAAUAUUCUUGGCUGAAACAGCAUAUCAACAGAGCAUCUUCUUUGACGGAAAGUGGGCAUUGAAUGCCCGAGUUGAGAAAUCUCUCAUAAAUACCUGCUUACUUUACCUGCCACUGUAUUGAUGUGAGAGUUACCUUAAUCGGAUGGUUGCAGAAUCUCCCUGGCAAUUCCCAGCAUAGAUAUGAUGGUGCUCCACAUAAUUAACUUACCGGCAGAAUCAUUCGUUCGAUAGAAUCGUAUGAGAGGGAUCACAUAGCAUAGGAUAUAAAAUUAAGCCUUGAAUAUAGGUGAUAUUUAUACUUUAACCUUUGGUUCUCGGUCUACGUAAUGAAAGGGACGGACUAAUACAGAAGAACCAUACAUGACAAGUGGCUCCUAAAUUGUCAUUUAUUUGAGUCCUUAGCUGAAAAGUUCAUGCCUGAAGGUGUGACAGAAAAUGGACUGUUUUUUUCCAUCCUUGAAAGUAAAACAAAGAAUCAAAAUUGUACUCUCCGUUUUACCCUGAUAACGCGUUUAAACUCAAUCGCAGCCGACUCUGCAUGACCAGAAUUGGCAGAUACAGACUCAUAAAAAUGAAAUGUUAUUGAAAGGAAAACCAAAAAUUAAAGUGGUAUUCUCUGUUGUACCCUGAUAACGCACUGAAACUCAAUCGCUGUUGACUCUGUAUGACCAGCAUUGGCAGAUAAAGGCUCCUGAAAA
Bemisia tabaci is the source of this 833-nucleotide non-coding RNA. The record is from RefSeq and is a predicted model, not a curated record. NCBI's taxonomy places the organism in Eukaryota, Metazoa, Arthropoda, Insecta, Hemiptera, Aleyrodidae.